RNAcentral lists this ribosomal RNA (253 nucleotides) under uncultured bacterium. RNAcentral describes it as "partial 16S ribosomal RNA". It matches the Rfam family "Bacterial small subunit ribosomal RNA", at positions 524 to 776 of the family's 1533-position model. The record is from RNAcentral.
UACAGAGGUGGCAAGCGUUGUUCGGAAUUACUGGGCGUAAAGGGCGCGUAGGCGGUCUUGUAAGUCUUGUGUGAAAUCCCUCGGCUUAACUGAGGAACUGCACGGGAUACUGCAUGACUUGAGAUCGGGAGAGGGAAGCGGAAUUCCGGGUGUAGCGGUGAAAUGCGUAGAUAUCCGGAGGAACACCGGUGGCGAAGGCGGCUUCCUGGACCGACACUGACGCUGAGGAGCGAAAGCGUGGGGAGCGAACAGG